UUCCUGAGAGGCGGUGGCUGCUCCUGACAGGAGCGGCGGAGGCGGCGAAACUUCGGCUCCCUAAGUUCUGCCCUCGGAUCUACGUGUAGCGGAAAUGAACCCCCAUCGGCCCCAAGGCAGUAGGCCGUGGAGCUGCGGGGGUCCUGAGCCGAGACCUGCUGCCCACGGCUGUAAACGCGAGGCCGGGGCUGGAGAGAGGCCUGAGGGCCUGAGUUAGACGUGAGGGGAUUUCCCGCGGCGUGGACUUAGAGCGGAGGGGGGAGAAGGGGGGCGGGGUUCAGAGCCCCGCCCCUUUACAUUACAGAUGGGGAGACUGAGGCAUGGGGAGGUUAUUCAAAGCUGCAGGGCCUCGAAGCCUGUCCCCUUACAUUGUAGAUGGGGAAGAUCAUGGACUCAGAGCCUUACUCCUUUAUAUUACAAAUGGAGAAACUGAGGCACAGGGAGGAAAAGGCUCGGAGCUGGAAGAGAGCCUCAGAGUCCUGCCCUGUCAUAAGUGGAGAAACGGAGGCACAAAAAUUAUUAUAGACCGAGGAGUCCUAGAGACCAAUGCGUCUCAACAGAUAAGGAAACUGAGGCGCAGAGAUUAAUGGUUUUAAAAGAUCAUGGAAUCAAGUUGCAAGGAACCUCAAAAGCUAUUGAUGUCCACCUCUUCCUUCUUCCCCCUCCCCCCCUCGUUUUAAAGACGAGGACACUUGGGGCUCUAGGAAUGGAACCGGUCUAGUCCAGCCCCUGCACACACUUUACAAGAAGAAAACAAGUCCAUGUUUUCCAUGGCUAUGUAGGUACUAAAUGGGAGAAUUCACACCCAGGUCCUCCUAUUCCUCUUUCUGCUAUACCAUGCUGAUUAACCUGGCACUAGGAUAAUGAAUGUGAAUGAAAUCCACAAUUAAUUCCUUGGGAGGUCCUUUGGUUGAAAGUGAUGACUGCUCAACAAUGAUCCAGACCUAGAAGAAACUUUAGAGAUCCAUGAACGCAACCCCUUUAUUUUACAAACUAAGGUCCAUAAAGGGGAAAUAAUUUGCCUAGGAUCCCACUGGUAGCAAAUGAUGGAGCAAGGAUUUGAAUGCAGGUCCUUUAAAAAAAUUAUUUAUACUAGGUAACCAUUGUUUGGUAUGUCAGUCUUUUGGAAUGAUUUAUGAAAACAUUGCCUCCAUUUACAUAAAGGUGUAAGGCUUGAAAGAACUUGGGUAAGAGCGGUGUUUAUCCCAGAGAGAUGAUAGAGAUAGCUCUGUCACCUACCACCUGUGUGAUUUUGGGCAAGUCAUUUUAUGUCUUUGCAUUUCAGAAAUUAGGAAGUUGAACAAGAUGGACUUUUGAGAUCACUUCCAGCUGAAAAUCUACAAUUCUCUGAAGACAGGAUAGUUGUAUUCAAGUACUUGAAGAUCUGCUACUUUGGACAUUGAUUUGUUUUUGUGCCCAGAGAACAGAAGGUGCAAGGGAAAAGAAACUAAAGUUCCACCCCUACUUUUAAGAAAUUUAAAGUCUGAAGAUGGAAUGUGGCCACCCUUUGAAAUUUGAGGGAGGUAAGUUUAGGAGAAAUAAAAUGAAGUAAUUUUUUAAAAUAACUUUUUAUUGACAGAACCCAUGCCAGGGUAAUUUUUUACAACAUUAUCCCUUGCACUCGUUUCUGUUCCGAUUUUUCCCCUCCCUCCCUCCACCCCCUCCCCCAGAUGGCAAGCAGUCCUUUACAUGUUGAAUAGGUUACAGUAUAUUCUAGAUACAAUAUAUGUGUGUAGAACCAAACAGUUUUCUUGUUGCAUAGGGAGAAUUGGAUUUUGAAGGUAUAAAUAACCCGGGAAGAAAAACAAAAAUGCAAGCAGUUUAUAUUCAUUUCCCAGUGUUCUUUCUUUGGGUGUAGCUACUUCUGUCCAUCACUGAUCAAUUGAAACUGAAUUAGCUCUCUUUAACAAAGAUCUACUUCCAUCAGAAUACAUCCUCAAACAGUAUUGUUGUUGAGGUAUAUAAUGAUCUCCUGGUUCUGCUCAUUUCACUUAGCAUCAGUUCAUGUAAGUCUCGCCAGUCCUCUCUGUAUUCAUCCUGCUUGGUCAUUCCUAAAAUGAAGUAAUAAAAUUGUGUUUUACUAUUCCAGGAGGUGAUACUGAUAGAAAAUGUGCGGGAAUUAAAAAAGAUUUAGAUAAUUUAUGAAUUGUAGAGCCAUAAAUGGCCUAAAAAGCAUGUAGUUGACUUUAGGGGACAUAGUCAUGUUUUCCUACACUAGUUAUGGUAGCCUUAGAUCUCAUGAGGCUCAAAGUAUCUGGGCUCUAAUUCUAUCAACCACUAAUUGGUUGUGUGACCUUGGACAAAUGGCAUCAUUUUACCGAACUUGUUUUCUCAUCUUUGAGUUCCCUUUUUUCCUCUAUACUUCAGAAGCAUCAUCUCCCAUUUUCUCCUUCUUUGCCAUAGUCUUUAAUGACAAGGUGAUCCUCUUUGCCAAAGACAGUCCUUCAGUUUGUACCUUUGAUCCCAUCCUUUCCCGUCUCCUUCAUUCACCUUCCUUCAUUUGGUCACUUUCAUCUUCAGUUUUCUUCUCUACUAGGAUCCUUGUGCUUCUUACAAGCAUUCUAGGCUCCCUGAUCUCCUUCAAAGCCCAGCUUAGGUCAGGUAUCAUCUGUAUGAGCUUUCCUAAUCUCAAUUUUUAACAGCUCUUCCUCAUGAAAUUACUUUCCAUUGUUUUGAGUGGACCUUAUCUCUACUAUUGCAUCCUUUUAAUUAAAUAUAUACUCCUUGCAGGCAGAGAUGCUUAUUUUGUCUUUGUAUAUUUAUAACUUUUGUACCUAAUAGUACAAUUCAUGUAGGAGAAACAAUGUUUAUUGAAUCUGCAAAUUGUUAUUUUUACUAAGUCAUCUGCUAAGACCUUUUAAGCUCUAAGACUCCAUAAUUCUGUUGUGGCUUUUGUUGGUCGACAGAAGAUGGGACAAGAUGAACCAUGGGUCUUUCACAGCAUGAUGAAUGUUUUGGUCCUGGAGAAGAUGAGCAAAAAACUAUGCAGAUUUUUUUUUUUUUCUUUGCUGUUAUUUUUCUUAUGAGGAACUGGAGAUACUGCUUAAUGACCAGUUUUGAUUAUUUACCAAUGCCUUAUUUUGGGGAAAGUGUGAGCCUUCCUUUUGACUCUUUAGCCUCAUUUUUACUAAUAUUUUUUCUUGUAUUAUCAUACUCAUUUUACUUAAUAAAGCAUCAAAGUUGCUUUUUACAAAUGUUUGUUAAUGUCAAAUCAUUUUCUUCCAUUCUUAGCCAAUGUUUUUCUUUCUCAAAUACGGAUAUUUAUAUAUUGUUUCAUUUAUAACACAUUCUUUUAUUUUUAUGAAACCCUUUUUUAUAUGUUCACUGUGUCUACCUCUAAUAAACCAAAACUUAGAUUUAAAAAAAAUAAAAUCAAAAUAGGGUUAGCUUUAUACUUGUUUAAUUAUUUUUGUUAAAACCCAACCCAAAUUCAGCUUCCUCCAUGAAGUCUUCUCUAAUUCUCCCCAUUAUUAAUGACCUGUUCUACCUGGAAUCUAUGUAGCAUUUUGCUUCUUUGUAGUGAACUUAUUUAUUGAUUAUUCUGUCUUAUAAUUUGUUAUCCCUGUCAUAGCCUCAUCUUACUAGACUAUAAGUUCUGUGAAAGCAAGGACUUGUGUAUCUUAAACUUUGUUCUGUCUUCUUCCACAUCACCUAACACAGGGGUUAACACAUUUGUAGUCAUUCAAUUGUGUCUAACUCUUUGUGAGCCUAUGGACCAUAGCAGCCCAAUAGUAUCCAUAAAGUUUUUGUAAUAAAGAAAUUUGAAUGAUUUGCCAUUUUCUUCUCUAAUGGAUUAAGGUAAACAGUUUAAGUAAUUUGUCCAGGGUCACACAGGUAGUAAGAGUCUGAAGCUGGAUUUGAACUCAGGCCUUCCUGACUGCAUGCCCAGUGCUUCAUCCACUAAGCUACCUAUCUGCUUUGUACAUAUUAAGUAUUUAGUAAAUGUUAAAUUGGAUCAUUAGAUUGUCCCAUCCUCCAUUCCUGUGAUGCUAGAGACUUUUAGUUGUUUUAAUAAGUGAGAGAAUAUACAGAGGAAAUGUUGAAAGUGCGGAGUGGAAGAUGACUUAAAAGAUGAAGCCUCUUACAAGCACCAUUUAUACAGCCUGUGAUCUACCUAAACAAGGGCUUAAUCUGUUCUGAGUAACUCCUAUAAUUAUAAUUCCUUUCUUCUUGGUUUUUUAAAAAUCCUGUUAGAUUUUUUUGUCUUGGGGUUGUUGGUGUUGUGAACAAUUUUUGUUCUUUAGAGCUUCAGAAUAAAGGUAUUAUGAAAAUCAAAUAAAUCACAUUGGCUAUAAUAA
Molecule: long non-coding RNA, 4298 nt
Organism: Antechinus flavipes (yellow-footed antechinus)
Lineage: Eukaryota; Metazoa; Chordata; Mammalia; Dasyuromorphia; Dasyuridae
Exons: 2
Source: RefSeq, a predicted model, not a curated record